RNAcentral lists this ribosomal RNA (301 nucleotides) under uncultured bacterium. RNAcentral's name for it is "partial 16S ribosomal RNA". It matches the Rfam family "Bacterial small subunit ribosomal RNA", at positions 509 to 807 of the family's 1533-position model. The record is from RNAcentral.
CAGUAGCCGCGGUAAUACGGAGGAUCCAAGCGUUAUCCGGAAUCAUUGGGUUUAAAGGGUCCGUAGGCGGUCUUGUAAGUCAGUGGUGAAAGCCCAUCGCUCAACGGUGGAACGGCCAUUGAUACUGCAGGACUUGAAUUAUUGGGAAGUAACUAGAAUAUGUAGUGUAGCGGUGAAAUGCUUAGAGAUUACAUGGAAUACCAAUUGCGAAGGCAGGUUACUACCAAUUGAUUGACGCUGAUGGACGAAAGCGUGGGUAGCGAACAGGAUUAGAUACCCCCGUAGUCCAUGUCUCUUAUAC